GUCUGCCGUAUCGAUGCCACUAGCGAUCCGCGGUUGUAAUGCGCCCCGGCGGGGAGCUUCCGGAAACUAAAGUCUUCCGGUUCCGGGGGAAGUAUGGUUGCAAAACUAAAACUUAAAGGAAUUGACGGAAGGGCACCCCCAGGAGGGGAGCCUGCGGCUUAAUUUGACUCAACACGGGAAAACUCACCCGGCCCGGACACCGUAAGGAUUGACAAAUUGAAAGCUCUUUCUUGAUUCGGGGGUUGGGGGGGCAUGGCCGUUCUUAUUUGGGGGAGCGAUUUGUCUGGUUUAUUCCAAUAACAAACAAAACUCUGGCCUACUAAAUAGAGACUGAAUUAUUACUGUUCCGGAUUCUUCUUAGAGGGACAAGUGGUUUUCACCCACACGAAAUUGAGCAAUAACAGGUCUGUGAUGCCCUUAUAUGUCCGGGGCUGCACGCGCGCUACACUGAAAGAAUCAGCGUGCUAAAACCAUUGUCGAAAGGAAUUGGUAAACCCAUCAAAAUCCUACGUGAUUGGGAUCGGGAAUUGCAAUUAUUUCCCUUGAACGAGGAAUUCCCAGUAAGUGCGGGUCAUAAGCUCGCGUUGAUUACGUCCCUGCCCUUUGUACACACCGCCCGUCGCUGCCCGCGACUGAACCGUUUCGAGAAAAGCGGGGACUGCCGCCUGUCGGGGCUUUCGGGCCGUGGCUGCGGUGGGAAACCGCUUUAAUCGCUAGUGCCUCGAGCGGAGCUAAAAGUCGUAACAAGGUUUCCCGUAAGUUGAACCUGCGGGAGGAUC
Molecule: ribosomal RNA, 779 nt
Filed under: uncultured eukaryote
Lineage: Eukaryota
Description: bacterial SSU rRNA
Rfam family: Eukaryotic small subunit ribosomal RNA
Source: RNAcentral